Molecule: ribosomal RNA, 354 nt
Filed under: uncultured bacterium
Lineage: Bacteria
Description: partial 16S ribosomal RNA
Rfam family: Bacterial small subunit ribosomal RNA
Source: RNAcentral
CCUACGGGUGGCAGCAGUGGGGAAUAUUGCACAAUGGGCGAAACCCUGAUGCAGCGACGCCGCGUGAGUGAAGAAGUAUUUCGGUAUGUAAAGCUCUAUCAGCAGGGAAGAAAAUUACGGUACCUGACUAAGAAGCCCCGGCAAACUACGGCCCAGCAGCCGCGGUAAUACGUCGGGGGCAAGCGUUAGCGGGAUUUACUGGGGGGAACGGGAGCGUAGACGGCCAGACAAGUCAGAAGUGAAAGCCCAGGGGUAAACCGGGGGACUGCGUUUGAAACUGCCAGGCUGGAGUGCAGGAGAGGUAAGGGGAAUGCAUGGUGUAGCGGUGAAAUGGGUAGAUAUUGGGAGGAAAAC